UUCGCAAUGCCCGAAAGGGUGACGAAGCGACGCCGCGUGCGGGAAGAAGGCCUUCGGGUUGUAAACCGCUGUCGGGAGUUAAGAAAUGCAAGGGUGUUAACAGCAUCCUUGCUUGACUAAGGCUCCGGAGGAAGCCACGGCUAACUCUGUGCCAGCAGCCGCGGUAAUACAGAGGCGGCAAGCGUUGUUCGGAAUUAUUGGGCGUAAAGAGCACGUAGGCGGCUGUGUAAGUCGGUUGUGAAAGCCUUCCGCUCAACGGGAGAACGGCAUCCGAUACUGCAUGGCUUGAGUGCGGGAGGGGAGAGUGGAACUUCUGGUGGAGCGGUGAAAUGCGUAGAUAUCAGAAGGGACACCGGCGGCGAAGGCGACUCUCUGGCCCGUAACUGACGCUGAGUGUGCGAAAGCUAGGGGAGCAAACGGGAUUAGAUACCCCGGUAGUCCUAGCCGUAAACGAUGGGCACUAAGUAGAGGGGUUUU
Molecule: ribosomal RNA, 477 nt
Filed under: uncultured Planctomycetales bacterium
Lineage: Bacteria; Pseudomonadati; Planctomycetota; Planctomycetia; Planctomycetales
Description: bacterial SSU rRNA
Rfam family: Bacterial small subunit ribosomal RNA
Source: RNAcentral